Leptopilina boulardi is the source of this 554-nucleotide long non-coding RNA. RefSeq lists it as uncharacterized. Lineage: Eukaryota; Metazoa; Arthropoda; Insecta; Hymenoptera; Figitidae. The record is from RefSeq and is a predicted model, not a curated record. The transcript has 3 exons.
AGUCGCUCAAAUCGGUAAAAAGUAGGGGGAGAUCAAUAUAAAUUCAGAGCAAUCUUCAAUUUACGAACAAGAAGCUUGUGUGAACAAUUUGUAAUAAACAAGAGUGAAAAUAAUUCAUUUUUAAUCAAUCAAGAUGCCUUCUCCUUGCGGUGAUUCCAAAUGCAAAGACAAAUGCGAUGGUUGCAAAUGCGGCGAUAACUGCAAAUGCUGUGACUCCGGAAAAGGAGAAAAAUGCCAAUGCAAAAGUGGAGGACAAUGCACAUGCAAACAAGGAUCUUGCGAAUGUUAAUAAUUUAAAAUAGAAAAUAUGUCACUUUCAUUGAAAAAAAAAAUUAUUUUUUUUUCCAAAAUUCAUUUUUAUUUCAUUCAGAUAUAUUUAAAUGAUACUAAAAUGUAAAAUUUUCUUUUUUUGAAAUAAUUUUCUUUCUGUUUCAAUAUAAUACAUAUAUAUUAUUUCCAUUCAAUAAUUCUGCCUUAUAAUUUUUUGUUAUUAAAUAUCUUAUUAUAGGCGAAUUAGAAAUCACAAGAAUGUAAUAAAUUAAUUAGAAAUUAAA